RNAcentral lists this ribosomal RNA (1438 nucleotides) under Serratia liquefaciens. RNAcentral describes it as "bacterial SSU rRNA". It matches the Rfam family "Bacterial small subunit ribosomal RNA". The record is from RNAcentral. Lineage: Bacteria; Pseudomonadati; Pseudomonadota; Gammaproteobacteria; Enterobacterales; Yersiniaceae.
ACGCUGGCGGCAGGCCUAACACAUGCAAGUCGAGCGGUAGCACAGAGAGCUUGCUCUCGGGUGACGAGCGGCGGACGGGUGAGUAAUGUCUGGGAAACUGCCUGAUGGAGGGGGAUAACUACUGGAAACGGUAGCUAAUACCGCAUAACGUCGCAAGACCAAAGUGGGGGACCUUCGGGCCUCAUGCCAUCAGAUGUGCCCAGAUGGGAUUAGCUAGUAGGUGGGGUAACGGCUCACCUAGGCGACGAUCCCUAGCUGGUCUGAGAGGAUGACCAGCCACACUGGAACUGAGACACGGUCCAGACUCCUACGGGAGGCAGCAGUGGGGAAUAUUGCACAAUGGGCGCAAGCCUGAUGCAGCCAUGCCGCGUGUGUGAAGAAGGCCUUCGGGUUGUAAAGCACUUUCAGUGGGGAGGAAGGCGUUAAGGUUAAUAACCUUGGCGAUUGACGUUACCCGCAGAAGAAGCACCGGCUAACUCCGUGCCAGCAGCCGCGGUAAUACGGAGGGUGCAAGCGUUAAUCGGAAUUACUGGGCGUAAAGCGCACGCAGGCGGUCUGUCAAGUCGGAUGUGAAAUCCCCGGGCUUAACCUGGGAACUGCAUUCGAAACUGGCAGGCUAGAGUCUUGUAGAGGGGGGUAGAAUUCCAGGUGUAGCGGUGAAAUGCGUAGAGAUCUGGAGGAAUACCGGUGGCGAAGGCGGCCCCCUGGACAAAGACUGACGCUCAGGUGCGAAAGCGUGGGGAGCAAACAGGAUUAGAUACCCUGGUAGUCCACGCCGUAAACGAUGUCGAUUUGGAGGUUGUGCCCUUGAGGCGUGGCUUCCGGAGCUAACGCGUUAAAUCGACCGCCUGGGGAGUACGGCCGCAAGGUUAAAACUCAAAUGAAUUGACGGGGGCCCGCACAAGCGGUGGAGCAUGUGGUUUAAUUCGAUGCAACGCGAAGAACCUUACCUGGUCUUGACAUCCACAGAACUUUCCAGAGAUGGAUUGGUGCCUUCGGGAACUGUGAGACAGGUGCUGCAUGGCUGUCGUCAGCUCGUGUUGUGAAAUGUUGGGUUAAGUCCCGCAACGAGCGCAACCCUUAUCCUUUGUUGCCAGCGGUCCGGCCGGGAACUCAAAGGAGACUGCCAGUGAUAAACUGGAGGAAGGUGGGGAUGACGUCAAGUCAUCAUGGCCCUUACGACCAGGGCUACACACGUGCUACAAUGGCAUAUACAAAGAGAAGCGACCUCGCGAGAGCAAGCGGACCUCAUAAAGUAUGUCGUAGUCCGGAUUGGAGUCUGCAACUCGACUCCAUGAAGUCGGAAUCGCUAGUAAUCGUAGAUCAGAAUGCUACGGUGAAUACGUUCCCGGGCCUUGUACACACCGCCCGUCACACCAUGGGAGUGGGUUGCAAAAGAAGUAGGUAGCUUAACCUUCGGGAGGGCGCUUUACCACUU